RNAcentral lists this long non-coding RNA (1802 nucleotides) under Anas platyrhynchos (mallard). RNAcentral's name for it is "lncRNA (ENSAPLG00020008917.1)". The record is from RNAcentral. Lineage: Eukaryota; Metazoa; Chordata; Aves; Anseriformes; Anatidae.
GGACACUUGUAUCAGCUUUCACGGUGCUGUGUGGAGCCCGGACCGACCUCCCUGACAGGCACAUGUGCUGUGUCUUCUGGCUGAACAUUGCCGCUGCACUGAUUCAGAUCCUGACAGCAAUCGUGAUGGUUGGCUGGAUUAUGAGUAUAUUUUGGGGGAUGGACAUGGUCAUUCUUGCAAGGUCUUCACGUAGUCAUCUCUGCUGAUGACAUCUCUGUGGGAGGAGGAUCUCAGGAAACUGCCAGGCACCAGCAAAACAAUUAAAUGGAUGAAACUGAAAAGAACAGCAGGAAAACAGAGCACAUUUUCAGAUGCCAAACCCACCGGUUAAACCCAUCCACCAAACCACCUGCUACUUUCUGAGCCAGCUUCAAUUUACAGGCUGAGUUCAGGGAGAUCCACAUACACAGUAAGAUGAUGUGAACAUGAGUGAAACAAAAGGCUUUCCUCAAGACAAAGACAGCACUACACUUUGUUUUCCCCUGCAAACCAGCAGAAGUUUCAUCUCAGAUGUACCUGCAUGUUUGGUAGCCUGAUGAGGAUAACAUCGGAGCGGAGGUGCAGAGCGGCAGCAGGAGACUUGCACUGAGCGAGGAGCAGAGAUGGGGCAGAGGCAGCGUGCGGUGGGCCCAGCCCCAGCCCGUGUGCGGCGGGUGGUCGAGGAGGAGGAAAAGCAGGGUGCCGAGAGGAGGAAAGCCCCCAGUGAAGGUGGCACCCGGGCAGGCAGCAGAGCUGGGGGAGCGGGAGGUGUUGGUCUCUCUGUCCUCCCAGCAGCAAGCGGUCAAAGACAUUCUGCCUCCUGUUAGACGUUUUUUGCCUCCUGUUACAGUUAAAGAAAACCAGCUGUGAACAUCAAAUGCCAAGGAGCUAUCAAUAGACAGACGUACAGCCUGUAGAAGCAACAAGCGGUCCCUUUUUCCCUUCUGAGAGCCCCUUCUUGACUGCUUGGUGGCAGCAGAGGGCUCAGCCCAGCUUCCUCAGCUGUGUACCUUCGAUGCUCUAUCAUUGCAGAUGUCUUGAGAAAUGUGCUUGCUGUAAAUCGCGUUUUACUCUUAAACUGACUUGGGCUGUCCUCUACAUCGAUCCUCUGGCUCCAGGCAAGCACCAGACCUCCCUACUGGCCCCGGGAGGCUCCUACCAGCGGGAGACGGGGAUCCCCUGCACCCCUGUGUGCUGCUGGUGGGGCAGUGGGACAAGCCCCGUGCUGCCAAAAACCUCCAGUGUAAAGACUUCUCCCCUUCCCCUGGGAGGAACCUGCUGUCCUUGGUUUGGCCGUGGAUCCCUGUGCAGCGUGUCCUGCAGGAUCGGUCGAUGGAGCAUCUCCAGCUCUGCUCCCCAGGGUCGAUCAAGCAACCAAUGUACAACUCCAGAGGUGCUGAGGUCUGCCAGAUGGACACCAAGGCCAAAGGGUCCAAUUUCUGCCUGUGAGAGGGAUCAACUUUAAUAAACAGCCAGAUUUCCACUCCCUACUUCAGGACAGGAGCAGCUUUACAGAUUUGCCACUCUCCCAGCUACCUUAGAGGGAGCACUGGACUGAAUUUUCAACCAACUGCUGCAAAAGCAAUGAGGAACGCUGCUUUUUCCAGUAGCCCUUCCCUGGAGAGACAUUUCUGUGACACCACUGGAUGGACGGAGGAUGUUUUUUCCCUGCUCCUGAGAGACUAGACCUCUGUCCAGGGAUGGAUCGAGCAGAGCCCAGACCCCGACACUGCUCCCAAGGAGCCCACAGCAGGGGAAGCCAGCAGCCAGAAGCAGGGGGCCACAAUUUUCACUGGUGAGAAGACCAAUGCCAUGAAAGCCCA